GCCAGACUCCUACGGGAGGCAGCAGUGAGGAAUAUUGGUCAAUGGGCGCAAGCCUGAACCAGCCAAGUCGCGUGAGGGAUGACGGUCCUAUGGAUUGUAAACCUCUUUUGUCGGGGAGCAAGGCCCGCCACGUGUGGCGGGAAGGAGAGUACCCGAAGAAAAAGCAUCGGCUAACUCCGUGCCAGCAGCCGCGGUAAUACGGAGGAUGCGAGCGUUAUCCGGAUUUAUUGGGUUUAAAGGGUGCGUAGGCGGAAGGUUAAGUCAGCGGUAAAAUGUCCGGGCUCAACCCGGGCCGGCCGUUGAAACUGGGGAUCUUGAGUGGGCGAGAAGUAUGCGGAAUGCGUGGUGUAGCGGUGAAAUGCAUAGAUAUCACGCAGAACUCCGAUUGCGAAGGCAGCAUACCGGCGCCCGACUGACGCUGAGGCACGAAAGCGUGGGGAUCGAACAGGAUUAGAUACCCGAGUA
This 465-nucleotide ribosomal RNA is filed under the name uncultured bacterium. RNAcentral describes it as "bacterial SSU rRNA". It matches the Rfam family "Bacterial small subunit ribosomal RNA", at positions 330 to 792 of the family's 1533-position model. The record is from RNAcentral.